Molecule: ribosomal RNA, 675 nt
Filed under: Linnemannia elongata
Lineage: Eukaryota; Fungi; Mortierellomycota; Mortierellomycetes; Mortierellales; Mortierellaceae
Description: partial large subunit ribosomal RNA
Rfam family: Eukaryotic large subunit ribosomal RNA
Source: RNAcentral
ACGGCGAGUGAAGCGGGAUGAGCUCAAAUUUAAAAUCUGGCUGGUUUACUAGUCCGAAUUGUAGUUUAUAGAAGCGUUUUCGGUGGCAGCCUGGGUAUAAAUCCUUUGGAAUAGGGUAUCAUAGAGGGUGAGAAUCCCGUCUUUGACUCAGUGCAUGCUACUAUGUGAUACGUUUUCAAAGAGUCGAGUUGUUUGGGAAUGCAGCUCAAAAUGGGUGGUAAAUUUCAUCUAAGGCUAAAUAUUGGCGAGAGACCGAUAGCGAACAAGUACCGUGAGGGAAAGAUGAAAAGAACUUUGAAAAGAGAGUUAAACAGUGCGUGAAAUUGUUGAAAGGGAAACGUUUGACACCAGUUAUGCGGGUGGAAAAUCAGUCUUUUGCAGUGGGGAGUUGUGGGCGUUCAGACCGCAAGGCUGGCGUUUGCUUCAUCUUUGUUGUAAGUGAUGCACUUUUUCAUUUGCAGGUCAACAUCAGUUUGCUUUGCUGGACAAAACCCCAAGGGAAGGUGGCAGCUUAGGCUGUGUUAUAGCCCUGGGGCGAUACAGUGGAGUGGACUGAGGUUUCGCAGUGUGUGCUCUCGGGCAAGGCUGACUGGGUGCUAUGGGAUCGUUCGGCGUACAAUGCAUGCAUUUUGCGUCGUGUCUUUUUCAUACUCGCUCAACUCGGCUCUUCCACAC